UAACAGGUGGCUGGUGCAGGGACACCAAACUUCAGACUUCUGAUUGCCAACUAAGCCAUCUGUAAAGGGCAUGCCUACCACAGGCACACCCAGAGCCACCCCUGGGUGCUUGGCCAUAUGGCAUCACCAUUGGACUCUUGCUCUUUCUUCCCUGGUUCCCUUCUCUCUAGAUAGAUGUGCUCCCAAGAGAUCUCCCCAGUGAGUCCUGUCUGCCUCAUUGGCUCUCUUCUUAGCAUCCGGCCUGAGAUGGUGGGCGGAGGCAGACUCCGCCAUGGAAGCAAAAGCAGCCUCUCAUGGAAACAUCAGAAGCUGAAGACUGCUCCCAGUCGUAGGCAGAAUUGUUAAGUCAAGGGCUGGACCACUGAGAAGUAGUACCUUGAGUCCUGGCUGGAAACAUCUAGAUUCAACAGCUGAAGUCCCCUGAACUCCAAGGCCUGCAGAAGUGGCCCCCACCUCCCUGUUGGAGGUAUCAGUUCUUCCCAUGCCUGAAGAUGAUAUACAGGCUCUUGCAUACAGGACAACACGCCACCUGAGACCAUGCUUUCAUGAUUUCUUAGCCACCCACAAUGCAGGCAGAGAAGAGCUUGGCCUGCUAAGGGUAGAAAGAGGCUUCGCCAUGAAGGAUCUGAAGAGCUUGGACAACGAAUGCUGUAAACAGAAAGAGUCAUGUGCCGCAUAAAGUUGGUCAAUGUG
This is a long non-coding RNA of Mastomys coucha (southern multimammate mouse), 693 nucleotides long. RefSeq lists it as uncharacterized. NCBI's taxonomy places the organism in Eukaryota, Metazoa, Chordata, Mammalia, Rodentia, Muridae. The transcript has 2 exons. The record is from RefSeq and is a predicted model, not a curated record.